GGAAAAAACCACAGAACCUCUCCUGCAAACUCAGAAGCCUCACGCCCCAAAGGGAAAUGGAUCACCAGAGGGUCCACUGCGACCAGUAAAGGUCUUAGUGGUGGGAAUUCCCUCCCCCCAAGGAGCCUCUGGAGUGUGCCAGAGGAUCAAAGGUCACAGUACCAGCUGUAGCUCCAAGGUCAAGGGGACCUUACCUAUGGUCAAAUCAGUGAGAGUCCGGACACACUAGGGUGAGGGGAAAUUGAGAACAUAACCAGCGCUCUCACAGUCAGAGGACAAAUGGUUUUGAAAUCAUGGGACCGAAGCUGGCUCCUCAGGGACUUC
This 324-nucleotide long non-coding RNA is filed under the name Ictidomys tridecemlineatus (thirteen-lined ground squirrel). RNAcentral describes it as "lncRNA (ENSSTOG00000029359.1)". The record is from RNAcentral. Lineage: Eukaryota; Metazoa; Chordata; Mammalia; Rodentia; Sciuridae.